RNAcentral lists this long non-coding RNA (795 nucleotides) under Homo sapiens (human). Its description in RNAcentral is "non-protein coding lnc-TLE4-12:2". Lineage: Eukaryota; Metazoa; Chordata; Mammalia; Primates; Hominidae. The record is from RNAcentral.
GGAGAUCUGCCUGGGCAUCAAGCAGAGAAGGCCUCAAUCCACCACUAUCUCUGCACAGGAAGGGUUAGGAAACUCAGGCUGCUGGUCCGGGCAAGCAGUUGCUCCAAAUGCAUGGAGUUCUGCCUGGAUGUGGAGUGAAGAGGCCCCCCUGCAUCAGGAUCUCUACACAGGAAGGAUGGCCGUAGCUCAGGCUGCUGAACCAGAAGAUAGAUCAUGACAUCAGUUGUCAGUGCUGGCUGCUUUCUACUCUACCAAGAUGUGCCUCACCUUAAAGAUCACAAGCAGUGGAGACUGUUCAAUUCAGAUCGACAUGAACUGACACCUGGGCAUUGGGAUUUUGGCCUAACUCAUGUUUGUUCUUGAAUGUAAGGUAUCUCAUAGAACUAGUGAACAGAUCCCUGGUAUUCAGAUUGAGUUUAAAGUAAACUGUGCAGAAGAUAUAUUCCAGAGAAUUUCAUAGGUUUAUAGAUCAAAUGAUCUGUGUUUCUAUGAAUUUUAGUGUGAAAUGCUCAACUGACAGAGCCUCAAAAAUUGAUAUGUGGUUUGUGGAAGAGAACAAAAGGGCAAUGUGGCAGACACGCCUAAUGGACUGAUAAAGAUUCAUGCUUUCCUUAGGUUGAUUGCCACUAGGUGAGGUGGUGUGGCUACUUCUCCCUCUAAUGAAUGCAAGUGGGAAUGAUGUGAACCUCUUUAGGACUAAGUGGUUAUGAAAUAGGAAUAUUUUCUCUGUGUCUUCUUUUCUCAAGUACAGUGCAAAGGGAAAGGAGCCCAAAGACGUAGAUAAGGACAGAAUCA